Molecule: ribosomal RNA, 374 nt
Filed under: uncultured bacterium
Lineage: Bacteria
Description: bacterial SSU rRNA
Rfam family: Bacterial small subunit ribosomal RNA
Source: RNAcentral
AUUGAACGCUGGCGGCAUGCCUAACACAUGCAAGUCGAACGGUAACGCGGGGGCAACCCUGGCGACGAGUGGCGGACGGGUGAGUAAUACAUCGGAACGUGCCCAGUAGUGGGGAUAGCCCGGCGAAAGCCGGAUUAAUACCGCAUACGACCUACGGGUGAAAGCGGGGGAUCGCAAGACCUCGCGCUAUUGGAGCGGCCGAUGUCAGAUUAGCUAGUUGGUGGGGUAAAAGCCUACCAAGGCGACGAUCUGUAGCUGGUCUGAGAGGACGACCAGCCACACUGGGACUGAGACACGGCCCAGACUCCUACGGAGGCAGCAGUGGGAAUUUUGGACAAUGGGGGCAACCCUGAUCCAGCCAUGCCGCGUGCGGG